UUGACGGAGAGUUUGAUCCUGGCUCAGGACGAACGCUGGCGGCGGGCCUAAUACAUGCAAGUCGAACGCAGUCGACCUUCGGGUCAUAUGACUGAGUGGCGAACGGGUGAGUAACACGUGAGAAACCUGCCCCGAAGACUGGAAUAACCCGAGGAAACUCGGGCUAAUACCGGAUGUCCCCAGAUGGCCGCAUGGCCGACUGAGGAAAUGCUCCGGCGCUUUGGGAGGGUCUCGCGGCCUAUCAGCUUGUUGGUGAGGUAACGGCUCACCAAGGCUUCGACGGGUAGCUGGUCUGAGAGGACGAUCAGCCACACUGGGACUGAGAUACGGCCCAGACUCCUACGGGAGGCAGCAGUAGGGAAUCUUGCGCAAUGGGCGAAAGCCUGACGCAGCCACGCCGCGUGAGUGAUGAAGGCCUUCGGGUCGUAAAGCUCUUUCAGCAGGGACGAAAAUGACGGUACCUGCAGAAGAAGCCCCGGCCAACUACGUGCCAGCAGCCGCGGUAACACGUAGGGGGCAAGCGUUGUCCGGAUUUAUUGGGCGUAAAGGGCUCGUAGGCUGUUCAGUAAGUCAGGUGUGAAAACUCGAGGCUCAACCUCGAGAUGCCACUUGAUACUGCUGUGACUAGAGUUCGGUAGAGGAGUGUGGAAUUCCUAGUGUAGCGGUGAAAUGCGCAGAUAUUAGGAGGAACACCAACAGCGAAGGCAGCACUCUGGGCCGAUACUGACGCUGAGGAGCGAAAGCGUGGGGAGCGAACAGGAUUAGAUACCCUGGUAGUCCACGCCGUAAACGGUGGGCACUAGAUGUGGGAUCCAGUCAACGGAUUCCGCGUCGUAGCUAACGCAUUAAGUGCCCCGCCUGGGGAGUACGGCCGCAAGGCUAAAACUCAAAGGAAUUGACGGGGGCCCGCACAAGCGGCGGAGCAUGUUGCUUAAUUCGAGGCAACGCGAAGAACCUUACCUGGGUUUGACAUGUAGGG
RNAcentral lists this ribosomal RNA (979 nucleotides) under Acidimicrobiales bacterium. RNAcentral's name for it is "bacterial SSU rRNA". It matches the Rfam family "Bacterial small subunit ribosomal RNA", at positions 1 to 993 of the family's 1533-position model. The record is from RNAcentral. Lineage: Bacteria; Bacillati; Actinomycetota; Acidimicrobiia; Acidimicrobiales.